This 73-nucleotide transfer RNA is filed under the name Clostridia bacterium. RNAcentral describes it as "tRNA-His". It matches the Rfam family "tRNA". From Rfam's summary of the family: Transfer RNA (tRNA) molecules are approximately 80 nucleotides in length. Their secondary structure includes four short double-helical elements and three loops (D, anti-codon, and T loops). Further hydrogen bonds mediate the characteristic L-shaped molecular structure. tRNAs have two regions of fundamental functional importance: the anti-codon, which is responsible for specific mRNA codon recognition, and the 3' end, to which the tRNAs corresponding amino acid is attached (by aminoacyl-tRNA synthetases). tRNAs cope with the degeneracy of the genetic code in two manners: having more than one tRNA (with a specific anti-codon) for a particular amino acid; and 'wobble' base-pairing, i.e. permitting non-standard base-pairing at the 3rd anti-codon position. The record is from RNAcentral. Lineage: Bacteria; Bacillati; Bacillota; Clostridia.
GCGGCUGUAGCUUAAUUGGUAGAGCAGUGGAUUGUGGUUCCACCGGUUGCGGGUUCAAGUCUCGUUGGUCGCC